RNAcentral lists this transfer RNA (39 nucleotides) under Oxyrrhynchium speciosum. RNAcentral describes it as "partial tRNA-Phe". Lineage: Eukaryota; Viridiplantae; Streptophyta; Bryopsida; Hypnales; Brachytheciaceae. The record is from RNAcentral.
CCGGAAUAGCUCAGUUGGUAGAGCAAAGGACUGAAAAUC